Molecule: ribosomal RNA, 180 nt
Filed under: Bryoria fuscescens
Lineage: Eukaryota; Fungi; Ascomycota; Lecanoromycetes; Lecanorales; Parmeliaceae
Description: 5.8S ribosomal RNA
Rfam family: 5.8S ribosomal RNA (bases 1-152)
About the family: 5.8S ribosomal RNA (5.8S rRNA) is a component of the large subunit of the eukaryotic ribosome. It is transcribed by RNA polymerase I as part of the 45S precursor that also contains 18S and 28S rRNA.
Source: RNAcentral
CUUUCAACAACGGAUCUCUUGGUUCCAGCAUCGAUGAAGAACGCAGCGAAAUGCGAUAAAUAAUGUGAAUUGCAGAAUUCAGUGAAUCAUCGAGUCUUUGAACGCACAUUGCGCCUCUCGGUAUUCCGGGGGGCAUGCCUGUUCGAGCGUCAUUACACCCCUCAAGCGUAGCUUGGUAUU